Long non-coding RNA from Paramisgurnus dabryanus, 1541 nucleotides. RefSeq lists it as uncharacterized. The record is from RefSeq and is a predicted model, not a curated record. NCBI's taxonomy places the organism in Eukaryota, Metazoa, Chordata, Actinopteri, Cypriniformes, Cobitidae.
GCCAAACGCAGUAAAAAAAAAAAAAAUAGCCAUUUAAUUCAUUGUAAAAACAAUGGACAUGCCAGUUCAAGUAACUUGUGGGCUAAAUCACCAAAAUAAGUUUGUAGAUGUGGUUCAAUUAUUUUUAAUGUGCAGCAUAAUGAAUCAGCCUGAAUGCAUGUAGCCUAUGAACAUAUUGUUUAGACUUUAUUUUUAAACCUUUAUCUGGUGUAUGGUUAAACCUUAUGAUGGUAGCAAUUGAAUACAAAUCUUAAACUGAAUCAAAUCUCUUAUAAUAAUACAUAAAAUCUCUGGGACGGUUGGGGGUACAUCAGGGUAACAUUUAAGCAGCUUAAUUUUUUUAAUUCUUUUAUAUAUUUUGAUGUGUAUAUAUAUAUAUUUACUUUCUUUAUUUUGUUUUCUCAGCUUUUAAACAUCUAAACAUGUCCUCCAAAAAGGUUUCCUGUGCUGUUUUGCUCCAUUUUACUGAACAAAAUAAGGCUGAGGUAGCACCAUCCUUGUGGUUAGAGUGAAAGAAUGUGGGUAUUGAGACCAAAAUAAACAAUGUGCCAUUCUGGACAAACAGCUGUGGACAAUAUGCAGUCAGAGUAGCCCAUUUUCUCACACAGACCUGAGGAUAAGAUUUCCAGUUUAAAAGUGAAGAAAAUGAAUCAUUAUUAACAGCAAAUAGGAGUAUUUCUCAGCUGAAAAGCCAGGUGAAACUAUAAGGUCACUAUGAUUCACUUUCAUAUUAUCAUUCUUUUCAGAUUUUUUUCCCUGUGUUUUUUUUGUUAGAUGAGGAGCAACCAGUAAGAAAAAGCAAAAAGAUGUUUUGAUGUUGCCUGAGGCACCUUAUUUUCCAUUUCAUGCACAAUCACAAAUGCAGCACAUCAAUCAAUUUCUUCCAACCAGCGAAUCAAGAAAUCUUGGAGUGGAGAAUCAUUCUGAAAGUAGACCAAAUCCAGGACAACAUCACAACAGUGGUCGGAAAAAUGCAGCAAGCCAAGCUGACUUUCAAAAGAUGAUUCGUUAUCUGUUUCUUCAGAGGGGAGGCAGUUUGGGAGAUGGGAAUUAGGAGGAUGCUACAGUUACACAGGGCAAAUUUCAGCAGCUCAGUUUCAAACUUGCAACUAACAUUGAGUUAAACUGGUCAGGGUGGAAGACCAGCUGACGUACCAGUUUUGCCAGGUUAAAGGACCAGCUUAAACCAGCUAAGACAGCCAACCAACUUAGCCAAGGUGGUAUAUGCUGGUGGGUCAGCUGGUCUUCCCGCCUGACCAGCUAAGACCAGCUACAAAGUGGCCAAAACCUCUGUAAAACAAUCCUGCUACACCAGCCUGACCAGCUGAAACCAUACUGGGAGUUAGAAGACCACGGAAAUAUUUGACAUCGGAGUCCAGCAGACAGCCAGAGACACGCACACACACGCAGCUGAAGCGCGUUUGACUGACGCGUACGGGAGAUCCGGCACGCGCACGGGAGCUCGCGCACGCUCACACAAACACGGAGCACAGGAUAAUUACAACUGUUUAAUUAAAAUAAAAGAACUUUGUGGUAUACAA